GGGAGUGUCGCUCAGUGAUAGAGCGCUCGCCUAGCAAGUGUGAGGCCCUGGGUUCUGUCCCCAGCACUUCAA
This is a non-coding RNA of Ictidomys tridecemlineatus (thirteen-lined ground squirrel), 72 nucleotides long. Lineage: Eukaryota; Metazoa; Chordata; Mammalia; Rodentia; Sciuridae. The record is from Rfam.